GCAGUAGUUUACUGGUAGAAUUUUAAUUUUUUAUUUGGAAGACCCAGGUUCAAGUCCUGGCCAAUGCA
RNAcentral lists this transfer RNA (68 nucleotides) under Loxodonta africana (African savanna elephant). It matches the Rfam family "tRNA". From Rfam's summary of the family: Transfer RNA (tRNA) molecules are approximately 80 nucleotides in length. Their secondary structure includes four short double-helical elements and three loops (D, anti-codon, and T loops). Further hydrogen bonds mediate the characteristic L-shaped molecular structure. tRNAs have two regions of fundamental functional importance: the anti-codon, which is responsible for specific mRNA codon recognition, and the 3' end, to which the tRNAs corresponding amino acid is attached (by aminoacyl-tRNA synthetases). tRNAs cope with the degeneracy of the genetic code in two manners: having more than one tRNA (with a specific anti-codon) for a particular amino acid; and 'wobble' base-pairing, i.e. permitting non-standard base-pairing at the 3rd anti-codon position. The record is from Rfam by way of RNAcentral. Lineage: Eukaryota; Metazoa; Chordata; Mammalia; Proboscidea; Elephantidae.